UGGAAUCAACGAAGAGUAAAGGAAGCAGUCCUUCAAGCCGAGCCAGGGCGGCAAAAAGCCACCUGCCAUCACCGCCACAAUUCCGUCGGCCACAGAAUUUUCCAAUUGCGUCAUGGCGUUUUCAAUUCUUGUUUAUUGUUGAAAAUGAUUGAGAGAGAGAGAAGCCGAGUCGCGUUUUCUUUCUGAAGCAUCGAGUCAGUUUUUGGGGAUCUCUCUGUAUCUGCGAUUCGUUGUGGAUAUGGCGCAGAUUGGUCAAGCCGAGGUCUGUGUGCCGAGGUCUUUGCAAGUAUGGCAAGCUUUGAUCGAUUGGCUCUCUUUCUUUGUUCAUAUAAUUGCUCAGAUCGUGCGUGGUGCUCCUUCUUGGGCUCAGAUUUUGUCCUAUGUCGGUGUUAGAUUGCCGCUUCUUGCCUCGUCUGCUCCCUCUUUUAAGCCCUUGCCGAUUGCUGAGAUUCCUCUCCAUCAGCUUUCAGCUAAGAAACUUAGCCCUCCCACUGAUGGGGAUGACGGUGGAAGUCGAGAUUGCUCGCUGGAAAAGAUUACGGUUGUUCUUGAUUUGGAUGAAACCUUGGUUUGUGCAUAUGAAACAUCCAGUUUGCCAGCCGUUUUUCGCACUCAGGCAACAGAAGCUGGCUUGGAUUGGUUUCAGCUAGAAUGUGUGUCCUCGGACAAGGAAUAUGAAGGAAAGCCAAAGAUCAGUCAUGUGACUGUAUUUGAACGUCCUGGAUUGCACGAGUUCUUGAGUCAGGCUGCUGAAUUUGCUGAACUCAUUUUAUUCACUGCUGGUCUUGAAGGAUAUGCUAGACCACUGGUCGACCGAAUCGAUUCAGAGGGAAGAUUUAGCCUUCGACUUUAUCGACCAUCCACAGUUAGCACAGAAUACAGAGAACACGUAAAAGAUCUAUCGUGUUUACGAAGAGAUCUCUCCCGAGUUGUUAUAAUCGAUAACAACCCAUUUAGUUUCUUACUGCAACCAUUGAAUGGAAUCCCAUGCCUUCCAUUCUCUCCUGCACAGCCUUCUGAUAAUCAGCUUUUAGACGUCCUCCUCCCGCUCCUCAAACACCUCGCCCUGGAAAAAGACGUCCGACCCGUUCUAUACGAAAAAUUUCACAUGCCUGAAUGGUUUCAGAUCCAUGGAAUUCCUUAGCAUGAGAAAAUUACAAUACAGAUAGUAUCCAAGCAUGCUGAGUGGAGAGCAUGCUAUGAAAUCAAUCUCCACAUUCUUUCCAUUUAGAGCUUAGGUGAUGGAGUAAGAAGAAAUUCAUGAGAUAUGUCCACAAUGGGUCACCGACUGGCGACCAGCAUAGUUUGUCCGAGUGCAAGCCUUCAGUUAUAGCUUCAAAAUUACGUCGUCUGCAAAUUGAAUGCUGCUAUACUCCUCUUUACUUCAUAGUAGUUAAUGUAGUUUAACAUUAUUUGGCAGCACUUCAGUGUCAUAGCCACUUGGUCUUGUUUAUUGGUAUGUGCACUUAAAAGGAAGAACUGGUAGCGAGGACUUGUUUUGAGGAGCAACAGAGAGGGAGAAGCCGCCAUUUGUGAUUGGAUAAGUUCAGACUUGGGGAAGCUAAUCAAGCAAUGGCGAUGCAGCUCAGCCAUGUGUAUUACGGUACACCCACAACCCGACGACCAACACUGCCGCUCACUGGCUGGAGAACCACCGUAUCUUAGGUUAGAGCUGUCGCAGGAAAUGAUCAGGAGCUUCUCAAAUCCGACAAGGUUCAGGCAAGUAGGCCAAAGGAGACAUUGACGGCCAUGGAUUUCGAGGGUAGGGGUAUGUGAGUUGGAGAAUGCUAGAGUAGAGUUAGAGGGUAGGGGCAUGUGUAGCUGUUUCGUGUUGGACGAGGAUCAAUUGUGUAAUCGCCCAAAUCCACUAGUAGAUAUUCUCUGCUUAUAACCGUCAGCCUGGCUUUAAAACCUG
RNA transcript from Cucurbita moschata (crookneck pumpkin), 1915 nucleotides. It is a transcript of the gene named carboxy-terminal domain RNA polymerase II polypeptide A small phosphatase 1-like, with no coding region annotated. The record is from RefSeq and is a predicted model, not a curated record. NCBI's taxonomy places the organism in Eukaryota, Viridiplantae, Streptophyta, Magnoliopsida, Cucurbitales, Cucurbitaceae. The transcript is spliced from 8 exons.